AUGAAGUGGAUACUUUCUUUGAGGUCAUGGAGAUUUCGGAAAGAUCGUAGAGUUCUUUUGGUCGCAUACAAGCUAAAAGGAGGAGCCGGUGCAUGGUGGCAUCGCGUUCAAGAAGAGCACAUGCUGAGAGGAGAACCUCGUGUGAGAACUUGGCGGCAAAUGAAAAGUCUCUUGAAAGGGAGAUUUUUGCCCACUUAUUAUGACCAUAUCCUAUUUACCCAAUUUCAAAAUUGUGCUCAAGGAAAUAUGACUGUUUUAGAUUACACGGAGGAGUUUCUAAGGCUAAAAGUGAGGUGCAACCUUGCUGAAACUGAAGAUCAACAAGUUGCAAGGUACAUCAAUGGUCUCAACGAUGCUACUCAAGAUCGACUGAUGAUGCAACAAAUCUGGUCCAUUGAUCAAGCACAAGCUCUAGCCUUAAAGGCCGAGAGGUUUGUGAGGACAAGAAAGGCAACUAAGGCUCCAUAUCCUCCAUAUCCUCAUGCCGAAGGCUCGUCUAGGAGUCAGCCUAAGAGAGUGAAAGAAAAGACCACUCCACCAAAGGCAAAACAACCCAUCUAG
RNAcentral lists this ribosomal RNA (561 nucleotides) under Triticum aestivum (bread wheat). RNAcentral describes it as "partial small subunit ribosomal RNA". Lineage: Eukaryota; Viridiplantae; Streptophyta; Magnoliopsida; Poales; Poaceae. The record is from RNAcentral.